UACAGAGACUGCAAGCGUUAUUCGGAUUCACUGGGCGUAAAGGGUGCGCAGGCGGCCAAGUGUGUUAGGCGUGAAAGCCUGGAGCUUAACUCCAGAAUUGCACCUAAAACUACAUGGCUAGAGCAUUGGAGAGGGUAGCGGAAUUCACGGUGUAGCAGUGAAAUGCGUAGAUAUCGUGAGGAACACCAGAGGCGAAGGCGGCUACCUGGACAAUUGCUGACGCUCAGGCACGAAAGCGUGGGGAGCAAAAGGG
Molecule: ribosomal RNA, 253 nt
Filed under: uncultured bacterium
Lineage: Bacteria
Description: partial 16S ribosomal RNA
Rfam family: Bacterial small subunit ribosomal RNA
Source: RNAcentral